Non-coding RNA from Meloidogyne hapla, 45 nucleotides. NCBI's taxonomy places the organism in Eukaryota, Metazoa, Nematoda, Chromadorea, Rhabditida, Meloidogynidae. The record is from Rfam.
CAAACGGCCCUCUUUAGGGCCACAAUUUUAAUAAGUGAAAUUAGG